UUCGAGUGAUAUUGGAAACAUGACCUCUCUAAUUAGCCUUGACUUGUCUUUGAAUAAACUUGAUGGAAGAAUUCCUGCAUCAUUCCAAAAUCUUUGUAAUUUAAAGUCACUCGUUUAGGGGGAGGCCAAAUUAAGCCAAGAGAUAAAUGACAUCCUUGACAUUCUGCUUGCUUGUGUUUCAAAUGGGCUAGAGAUACUAGAUUUAACAGAUUGUCAACUAUCUGGUCAUUUGCCCAAUAAUCUUGGGGAAUUUAAAAAUCUAUACCAGCUUCUUUUAUCAGCUAAUUCCAUUUCUGGUCCAAUUACCAUCUCUCUGGGAGAUUUGACAUGGGUGAAAAUUAUAGACCUCUCUCAAAACAAUCUGAAUGGAAGUCUCCCCAGUAGUUUCGGAGGACUUGGAGAGUUAGAAAGUGUUGAUCUUUCUUAUAAUUUAUUGGAGGGUG
RNAcentral lists this unclassified non-coding RNA (443 nucleotides) under Hevea brasiliensis (rubber tree). The record is from RNAcentral. Lineage: Eukaryota; Viridiplantae; Streptophyta; Magnoliopsida; Malpighiales; Euphorbiaceae.